CAGAAAAUGAGAAGAAGAAAAAAAUGAAAAAGAAAAACACUCUUCUACACUCUCAAAAGUUCCCCAUUUCCAUUUUCCACACACAACAGUCUUUCUCUACUCCGAAAACCCUAAAAAUGGGGAGCAAUCGAACUCCAGCUAAACAACGAUAUAUUGGUUUUUCACCGGAUAAAGUUGAGAUCAAUAGAUUUUAUGCUCCAUGUCUAUAUUUUUUCUUUUCAAAAUCCUUGAGUUUCGCCUAUUUUAGUUUUUUUGUUUUUUUCUCUUGAUUUUGAGUUUGAUUUUGACUCUGUUUGCAGCUUCUGAAUCAGCGUAUUUUGAUCUUUUGAAUUCUGCAUACAAAGGGAAUCUAGAUCGUUUCAAGAUUAUAGCUUCAAGGUACGAUGACAAAGGGGAUGGACUAGCAAUAACGAUCCAACGUCUUAAGGAUAAACUUGGAAGAGGAUCUCUUAUUUUUGCUGCUGCUGGAGGAAGCGUAAAUGUCUGUAGAUACUUGAUUGAAGAGUUGAAUUUUGAUAUCGAUGUGCAAGAUAAUCAUGGUGGAACUCCCUUAUGUUAUGGAGCUGUAAAAGGACAUCUGAACUCUGUAGAGUAUCUUCUUGAGAAGGGUGCCAAUCCUAAUGGUUCAAAUGAUCCGAAUAGUACAUUUAGUGCUCCUUUGCAUUAUGCUGUAUUAGGAGUUGGAGAUACAAUUAGGCGUGGAUUUCAUAUGCCGUUUUAUAUGCAUGAGACAUAAACAUACAGAGGUUGCUACUUUCAAAAGGUGCUCGUGUUAAUUUUGUGACUGCAGCUGGGACAGCCCUAUGUUAUGCUGCUGGUAGGGACCAGCUUGAUUCUGUUAAACUCUUGUUGGAUCACCAUGCAGAUCCUAAUGUAGUGUUGAAGGGCCUGAUUACACCGCUGACGGCGAGUAUUCUUAACGGUACACUGCAAAUGACAGAUCUUUUACUACAGGCUGUUGCUGACCCAAAUGCCGAAUCACGUGGAAUUGCCCCUCUUGGAUCUGCAGUAGAAUAUGGGCUAACAAAAUUUAUCGUGCCCUUACCGGAGGCCGGUGCUGAUCCAAAUGCUACGGACAAUGAAGGCAUGACUGCAGUAGAAAUUGCUGCUACAAUGGGCAAGAGGGAAAUUGUUGAGAUUCUGUUUCCCGUGACUUCUUGCAUUCCAACAUAUCCAAGUUGGACCAUUGGUGGACUUAUGAAGCAUGUGCAUUCUGAGGCCGCCAGAAAGAAGAAGAAACCCGAAGGUUCUGAGAAAGUUCUUCAAGAAAAAAUGAACGGUGCAGAAGCAUUCAAGGAAAAGCAGUAUUCGCUGGCAGCAAUGUGGUACUCAAAGGCGUUGGAAAUUGCUCCAACAGAUGCAACUCUGCUAUCCAAUAGGAGUGCAUGUUAUGCAUGUAUGCAAGAUGGACCUGAAGCAUUAAAGGAUGCAACUGAAUGCAUAUCUUUAAGGCCUGAUUGGCCAAAGGCACACUAUAGGGCAGGCGUAGCUCUCAAAAUUCUGAAAAGGUAUGGCGAAGCGGCAGACGCCUUUUAUAAGGGUUUGACGCUGGAUCCUGAAAACAAAGAGCUUCAAGAUGCAUUCAGGUUCAGUUUUAUCGACCUUCGUUAAGAAUUCUAUUUCCAUGUUUAUAGUUAUUAAUUAUGUCAUUCAUUCACCAUCAAGACAGAUAAUUAAAGUGCUUGGAUCCCAUUCAAAUUUGGCAACCAAUUUGGCUGUCUAAACGUCCCUUAUGUUUUCUGGAUAUCACUGUCUCUACAUUUUGCCAAUUAGAAAUGUCUUAUUCCUUUUCCUAAAGAACUUUGUCUAGAAUAAUCACAUCUUCAAGAAAUGUGAUUUACAUCUAUAGCCACAACUUACAUGGCCAGAGUAUUUACUGGUUAAACCUGAUUGAAGUCGCAUGAUGGGGUUUUCAUGCAUGACCCCACAUGGAACAUCAGUCAGUCGUCAAUGUUACACAUGGUUUCACAACCUUUAUUAUCCAUAAACUGUCAAGUGGUGGGAGAAGUGUCAUUUCUGUUUUUAAUCUGUAUUUUGUUUAAAUUGCUCAGCAAUUUAGAUUGAAGUCCUGCUGAGCAAUUUAGAUUGAAGUCCGUCUUCCUACAACCAUAAGAAGAAGAAGAUGAUGAUAGUAGCUCAUCAAUAACUAACAGCAAACUGGCAAUAUAUAUUAUCUUAACCAGAAGACAUUCUAUUAAUGUUUCGGUGGCCAACUUUUGUAUAGCUCCUACUGAAAGGGGUUUUCCUGACAUCGUAACUAUUUGCAACAAACUAUAGGGUUUUUUACAUUACUAUUCCACUAGGAAUUUCUGUAGAAGAAGGGCUCUUUUAACUUCUUAUAUUAUGUCUCCACAGACCUCUAACUUUGAGUAUGCUAUUCCAUCUUCUGGUUUCUUUCUUUGGUUGCACUCCCCAAACUAAGAACUUUCAAGAUGCGUGGCUGUUAAUAAUCUAUCCCAGAUUGUAUCUUUUACCUGAAUCGCCAUGCUAGUUUCACAUAGAAUUUCUGGAUCAAGAAAUCAUAUGAAGCACACAAAUACCUUGACGGAAGUAAAAAUGAUCCUAAGUAUUUGUCUGUAUUCUUCAUAAUUGCCACACCAAGUAUGUCAGCAAAUUCAACUUUGUGCUCCGAAUUCAUUUUGUAGUUCAAGUGGAUUAAAGAUUUUAUGUAUUACUUUUUGUCAAGACCAAUUUUCGGUCGGACUACCCCAAAAUAUCGGAUUGCUUGCCCCUAUUUGUUAGAGGCACGACCAAAGAAGAAUAAGUCGUUGACAAACAUUAGAUGGGUGGUACAAGGAGCUUCAUGAUUAACUUUAUAACCCUCGAAACAACCUUCAUUUCCUGCUUUGUUGAGUGGCCAAGUGAGACCCCUUGAUCUGGUGAUGUCUACAAUCCCUGUGAUGUUGCUGUCCUGUCCCUGCUUUUGACAAGGAUAUAUUGUGGGAGUUCCAAUUCUGUAAACUUAAUGAUGAGUUGCAUACUUCAAGUGUAUCAUCUAAGAGGUGUCACUAGUUUAUUGCCUAAUCGUAUAGAAGACUCUAUUGAUCCUGUUUACAUGCGAGGGAGGUAAUUUAACUGGUGGAAACUUUUAUGCUACGUCUCAGGGAGCAGUUUGAUGCAACAUCGCAUUGCACUUCCACCUGAUGCUAUGGGAAAGAUCAUUUAUGUUGCCCCAGCUGGUCAAUACUCACUGAGUGUAUGUAUCUCCUCCUUUACUCUCUUAGUUACUCUGGCAAGGGCAGCAGUGGCAUCAUAUUUUUUGGUGGUCAAAAACUGCAUACAGGAACUCAUACUGGAAAUUUGAUGUCGCCUCUCUUGCUUGGCUCAGGUCUAUUUUCAUAGUUAUUGCCAUUUUAUUUUAUUUUUUUCUUUCUUUUUGUUUUAGGCUUACUGGUUUCCUAUAGAUGUGUUGUCACUGGCUUUAGGGAUUUGGUUCACAGUGCAAUUUCCAUUAUGGUUUUUAUAACUGAAUAUUAAAAUAUUGUUCCUCUUGAGCCUGUUUCUGAUCGAACCUUGCUUACGAUGAACAUGCUAGCUACACGACACCUUGCCGCGCUACAAAUCCAUAAAAAAAAAGGUCAACAACUGGAUCAGCACAUUGUUCCAGGCAUGGAUUAACUUGGCUCAAUUCCCACUGUGCCUAAACCACCUAAUUGGCCGCGUUUGGUGCUUUCAAUCACGCAACUCGUAGGUAUGUACAUGUGGCCAUAAGUGCAUACAUAUAUGCAAACCAUUUCUUUCCCCUUCACUUGCAAUAUCAUAAUCCUUUAUUUAUUUUCUUCUUUUCCAAUGAGGUUUGAGGCCUUCAAUCACGCAAUUCAAAGCCGCUUUUCAAAGGGGUACAUGUGGCCAACUGGCCAUAAAUGCAAACCAUUUCUUGCCCAACUACUUGCAAUAUCAUAAUCUUUUUUUUUUCCGAUGAGGUAGGUGGGUUGCUUCUUUUGGUAGUUAUAUAUAUUAUACAGCCAACCCAUUGUACUACAUCCCAUUCGCAGAAUCUCUUCAGCAAGAAAAUGGCUUCAUUUUGUUCCCUGUUGGUUUACAAUGCUGUGUUUCUCCUGGUUUCGAUUGUUCUUGUUUCUUCGUCUACCGAUCAAGAAAGCGUCGUUGCCUCUGCUUUUCCUUCCUCUAAGUAUCACUGUGAAGUGUUUCAGUCAGUAACAUUGUCUCAGUUUAAUUUGUUCUGACUAUAUUUGCCAUCAUAUAGAUCUUUUCUAAUAUAUGCAGUGAAUUUUGUUGCGUUCAUGCAGUAGAGAUGGGAGCUCUUACACGUACCUUCGAAUGUGAGCCAGGUGUGGGCAUAAAAAUGAGGACUCAGGAAUUUAAUAUAAUUAGAGGUUGCCUUCCCUGUUUAGCUUAUUGUCGGGGUGCUUGUGAUGCGCUGGGUACCUAUUGGUAUCGCCAAAGAUGCCUGACACCUCCAGAAACCACAAAUGUAGUUUGCGACUGCUGUUGUAAAAAACCCGCACCACCCCCUCCAUGCAUAUGUCCCACUCCUACUACACCACCCCCACCCCCACCUAGUACUCCUUCGGGUGGUCAGUGUGCUCCUGGAGACACAUACACAGAAACUACGAUACCAACCUCAAAUUGCUCCGAUUGUACAAACUGGUGUAAAGAAGAUUGUUCAGAAUUAGGAGGCCGUGUGACUGAUGACAAGUGCGCCAUAGGUGAAUCUAACUUUGUAAGAAAAUUUUGCAGUACAAGACUUUUUAAAAUGGAGAUUUCUAAAGGUAGAAAAUUUGCUCAUGAUUGUAUUUGAUUUCAAGACUUCAAUAAUAUCCUGAUAACAAGGGUACAACUAAUAUAACAUUCUAGUUAAUGC
Papaver somniferum (opium poppy) is the source of this 4825-nucleotide RNA transcript. It is a transcript of the gene named hsp70-Hsp90 organizing protein 1-like, with no coding region annotated. The record is from RefSeq and is a predicted model, not a curated record. The transcript is spliced from 12 exons. NCBI's taxonomy places the organism in Eukaryota, Viridiplantae, Streptophyta, Magnoliopsida, Ranunculales, Papaveraceae.